GCUGACGAGUGGCGGACGGGUGAGUAAUGUCUGGGAAACUGCCUGAUGAGGGGAUAACUACUGGAAACGGUAGCUAAUACCGCAUAACGUCGCAAGACCAAAGAGGGGGACCUUAGGGCCUCUUGCCAUCGGAUGUGCCCAGAUGGGAUUAGCUAGUAGGUGGGGUAACGGCUCACCUAGGCGACGAUCCCUAGCUGGUCUGAGAGGAUGACCAGCCACACUGGAACUGAGACACGGUCCAGACUCCUACGGGAGGCAGCAGUGGGGAAUAUUGCACAAUGGGCGCAAGCCUGAUGCAGCCAUGCCGCGUGUAUGAAGAAGGCCUUCGGGUUGUAAAGUACUUUCAGCGGGGAGGAAGGGAGUAAAGUUAAUACCUUUGCUCAUUGACGUUACCCGCAGAAGAAGCACCGGCUAACUCCGUG
RNAcentral lists this ribosomal RNA (422 nucleotides) under uncultured bacterium. Its description in RNAcentral is "bacterial SSU rRNA". It matches the Rfam family "Bacterial small subunit ribosomal RNA", at positions 87 to 507 of the family's 1533-position model. The record is from RNAcentral.